AAGAUUGGCAGCUGAGCUAACAACUGUUGCCAACCUUCUUUUUUUUUCUUUUUUUCUGCUUUUUGUCCCCAAAUCCCACAGGUACAUAGUUGUAUAUUUUAGUUGUAGGUCCUCCUAGGUGUGGCAUGUGGGAUGCUGCCUCAACAUGAUCUAAUGAGUGGUGCCAUGUCCACGCCCAGGAUCCGAACCAGCGAAACCCUGGGCCACCGAAGCAGAGCAUGUGAACUUAACCACUUGGCCACGGGGCCGGCCCCUGGCUGUUUCUUAUAAAGUAAAAUAUACACAUACCAUCUGACUCAGCCAUCAUAUCCUAGACCACUUGCUCCGGGACUAGCCCGCUGCCAUGUCAGAAGGACAUCCAAGCAGCUCUAGUCAGGCAAGGAACGCAGGCUGCCUGCCAACAGCCAUGUGAGUGUGACAUUUGCAAGUGACUCCUCCAACCCCAGUCAAGCGUUCAGAGGACUGAAGCCCCAGCUGACUUCACUGCAACCUCCUGAGAGAUAUUGAGCCAGAACCAUUCAGCCAAGCCAUUUCUGAAUUCCUAACCAACAGCAACUGUGAGAUAAAAUGUCUACUGUUUUAAGGUGCUAAGCUUUGGAGUAAUAUGUAACCCAGCAAUCGAUAAUGAAUACACCCAGGAAGAAUGAAGAUUUUUUUUUAAAAAAAAGCACAUCUAGAAAUUAAGAAGAAUUCUUACAAGCAUCAGACAGAAAGAACAAGCUUCUUACAAAAGAAACAAAAGUAGAUGAAUAUUUCUUUCUUAUCAGUGAUAGUGGAAGCUGGAAGUGAACAACUACAAUUUUUGGACAGGCAAAGAUUCCGUUUACCUAUGGCACCCUAUUUUCAAAAAUAAUGGAAGAAAUUCUCCAACCUUUUAAGAAUGGAAUAGAAUUUAACCACGACUACACCAAGAUUUUAGGAGUAAGAAAAAGAGUACACAAAAAGCUAUUUUGCAAUAUUUAAGUUGUCUAAAUGAACAGAGACAGUGUGAAUGAGAAUCUGUAAUAUAUGUUGUAAAAUUAGUCUUGAAAUAAUUUCCACAUACAUAGGUUAGUAUUAAACUUCCUAAUAUACAUAAUUCAUCGUUCAACUAUUUACUUGUAACUUACUAUGCAUAUUUACUUAAAAAAAUUUUCAGCAAGUUCAUUGACCUUUGAUGCACACAAAUAGAACUUCUAAGUUAGAACUACCAUUCCUUAAGGAGUUGCAAAAAAUUUCCUGAAAUAUUG
This 1229-nucleotide long non-coding RNA is filed under the name Equus asinus (donkey). RNAcentral describes it as "lncRNA (ENSEASG00005036686.1)". Lineage: Eukaryota; Metazoa; Chordata; Mammalia; Perissodactyla; Equidae. The record is from RNAcentral.